Non-coding RNA from Olsenella sp. oral taxon 807, 119 nucleotides. The record is from Rfam. NCBI's taxonomy places the organism in Bacteria, Bacillati, Actinomycetota, Coriobacteriia, Coriobacteriales, Atopobiaceae.
AGACAUCUUCAGGGCGGGGUGCGAUUCCCCACCGGCGGUUACAGCCCGCGAGCUCCCAAACGAGCCGAUCCGAUGGAACCUCGGAGCCGACAGUAUAGUCUGGAUGGAAGAAGAUGCAU